This 488-nucleotide ribosomal RNA is filed under the name uncultured Nitrospira sp. RNAcentral describes it as "bacterial SSU rRNA". It matches the Rfam family "Bacterial small subunit ribosomal RNA", at positions 8 to 490 of the family's 1533-position model. The record is from RNAcentral. Lineage: Bacteria; Pseudomonadati; Nitrospirota; Nitrospiria; Nitrospirales; Nitrospiraceae.
AGAGUUUGAUCAUGGCUCAGAACGAACGCUGGCGGCGCGCCUAAUACAUGCAAGUCGAGCGAGAAGACGUAGCAAUACGUUUGUAAAGCGGCGAACGGGUGAGGAAUACAUGGGUAACCUACCCUCGAGUGGGGAAUAACUAGCCGAAAGGUUAGCUAAUACCGCGUACGCUCCUUGGACUUCGGUUCAGGGAGGAAAGCGAUACCGUGGGUAUCGCGCUCUUGGAUGGGCUCAUGUCCUAUCAGCUUGUUGGUGAGGUAACGGCUCACCAAGGCUUCGACGGGUAGCUGGUCUGAGAGGACGAUCAGCCACACUGGCACUGCGACACGGGCCAGACUCCUACGGGAGGCAGCAGUAAGGAAUAUUGCGCAAUGGGCGAAAGCCUGACGCAGCGACGCCGCGUGGGGGAUGAAGGUCUUCGGAUUGUAAACCCCUUUCGGGAGGGAAGAUGGAACGAGCAAUCGUUCGGACGGUACCUCCAGAAGCAG